RNAcentral lists this ribosomal RNA (429 nucleotides) under Actinomycetes bacterium. Its description in RNAcentral is "Actinobacteria bacterium partial 16S ribosomal RNA". It matches the Rfam family "Bacterial small subunit ribosomal RNA", at positions 355 to 776 of the family's 1533-position model. The record is from RNAcentral. Lineage: Bacteria; Bacillati; Actinomycetota; Actinomycetes.
UAGGGAAUCUUCCGCAAUGGGCGAAAGCCUGACGGAGCAACGCCGCGUGAGUGAUGAAGGUCUUCGGAUCGUAAAACUCUGUUAUUAGGGAAGAACAAAUGUGUAAGUAACUAUGCACGUCUUGACGGUACCUAAUCAGAAAGCCACGGCUAACUACGUGCCAGCAGCCGCGGUAAUACGUAGGUGGCAAGCGUUAUCCGGAAUUAUUGGGCGUAAAGCGCGCGGAGGCGGUUUUUUAAGUCUGAUGUGAAAGCCCACGGCUCAACCGUGGAGGGUCAUUGGAAACUGGAAAACUUGAGUGCAGAAGAGGAAAGUGGAAUUCCAUGUGUAGCGGUGAAAUGCGCAGAGAUAUGGAGGAACACCAGUGGCGAAGGCGACUUUCUGGUCUGUAACUGACGCUGAUGUGCGAAAGCGUGGGGAUCAAACAGG